Molecule: non-coding RNA, 632 nt
Organism: Theobroma umbraticum
Lineage: Eukaryota; Viridiplantae; Streptophyta; Magnoliopsida; Malvales; Malvaceae
Source: RefSeq, a predicted model, not a curated record
CUCAGGAACAUCAUCAGGUGGAAAGUCAGAAAUUGAGCUCUCUCCAAUCAUAGUUUCUGAAGGAUCAAACUGAGAAUUCGGAGGAUGCAUAACAGAAUCAACACAGCAGGUUGAAAGAAUAUGAAUCAUCACAACCAUUGGAAACUGCAACCCCUGCAAGCAAAGAAUCAGGGAUGGCCACUUGGAAGGGUUUCACUACUAGUGAGCUCCUACUCUCAUCUACAACAUCGGUAGGCUGGACAGCAUGAACUGCAUAAGGGAGUUUUGAAGGGAUUGAGCCAGGUAUUCCAUCUUUAGCUUUACAUUUAGUCUUGGGUUGAAACUUGGCACCACCUCGAGCUGCCAAAAAUAUUGAAUAUUUAAUUUAAACACCCAAAAAACAAACCCAACUUUUUUUUUUCCGAAAGAAGAAGAAAAUGCAAUAUCUUUUCUUGUGUCAGAAGUGGCUCAUCGAAAAUAAUAUCAGAAUCGUCCAUAUCAAAAUCUGGUGGUUAAUUGACGCUCCGCCGAUAAUGGCCGGCUUUGGGUGGUGGUUGCUGGGUUGUGAAGGGUGGACAGUUUGUGUCUUCGUCCUUCCGUUACUACUGGGAAAAGCGAAUAAAGGAAAAAAAAAUCGAAAGGAAAAUGGGAAG